Molecule: ribosomal RNA, 273 nt
Filed under: uncultured bacterium
Lineage: Bacteria
Description: partial 16S ribosomal RNA
Rfam family: Bacterial small subunit ribosomal RNA
Source: RNAcentral
UACGAAGGGUGCAAGCGUUAUUCGGAUUUACUAAGCGUAAAGCGCGCGCAGGCAGAUAAGCAAGUCAGAUGUGAAAUCUCGGAGCUCAACCCCGAAACUACGUCUGAAACUGCUAAUCUAGAGUCUCGGAGAGGGAUGGGGAAUUUCCUGUGUAGGAGUAAAAUCCGUAGAGAUAGGAAGGAACACCUGAGGCAAAGGCGCCAUCCUGGACAAGUACUAACACUAAAACGCGAAAGCGUAAGGAGCAAACAGGAUUAGAUACCCGUGUAGUCC